This 1714-nucleotide long non-coding RNA is filed under the name Capsella rubella. RNAcentral's name for it is "long non-coding RNA (CRUB_LNC001014)". The record is from RNAcentral. Lineage: Eukaryota; Viridiplantae; Streptophyta; Magnoliopsida; Brassicales; Brassicaceae.
CUCUCUUCACUUCUCUUUCUCUGGUUCUGCAAAAUAACAUUCAGCUACUUAGACAUAAGUCACCAAAGAAAAGCUUGAAACGUUGGUUUCAGACAGAAGCAGUACACCAGGCAUGUCCGAUUUUCUCAUCUCUUUCUUAUCUUUGUGUUUGUUUCAGAAUUAGCUCUCUUGUUUCACAAUCUUUUGAUAGAUAAUGUUUCGUAACUAGAAGCUGUCUUCAUGAAUGUUUUUGAUACUUGAAAGAUUCAUGAAACCUAGAGUUAAUGUUUAUAUAAAAACCCCCAAGCUUUCUAAUGCAUUGAACUUUUUUCUAGUAUUAGAGAUAAUUAUCAUAGCCUAGUGAUUUGGCAUAGUUGUAUAGGACUCUUGUAAUUCUUAUUUAUAUGCAGAAACUUUGAGAAACAGGUGUGUUCUCAUAUAGGUACACAAAAACACGUAUGCCUCAACUGAGAUUUUGAUGUUUUAUCUUUUACAUAUUACAUUCGUGGAAUAAUGUUUGUCAUGGAGUGACGUUGUAAUGAUUCUCUACAGGUGCGUAUAUAUGAACAGGUUUGUAUUAUCUCUUCCAUGUAAAAGCAGUGUCUUCUUCUCUUAGCCUCUGUUUGCAGCAAGAAUAUCUUUAAGCUUUCAUGUUUUCAUCAGCUUGUUCAUUGAAGAACUGCCUCAUUGCUUGUAUGAAAAUCUGUGUUGAAAGACGUCAAAUUAUUAUUAUAAGUCUAGUUGCUUAUGUUCUAUCUUUGACAUAAUUAAGCAGUGAGGAGCUUACUUGGUCGACAAAUUGAAGAGAAGGGUUUUUGUUAUGUGAGAGAAGGUCCAACUUUGACAGGUUUUACGAUCCUGAAAGCUUUUCUUGCAUACUCAAAUGCCAAAACCAGAAGUCCGAAGAGGAAAAGUAGACAGCGAUUGAACUUUUCCAGUAUGAAAUAUCCAGGAGAGACGGCAUUCUUGCUUUCUGAUGAGCUUCUAAUCAAUGUUAGUCGCCUCUUGAAGUAACCUGAGAAAACGAAACAGAGCAAGCAUAUAAUGGUAUAUUGAUCUUAUUCUCAGAACAACACCUUAAAAGAAAAAGAAUGGUCUAAAGCAAUGGGAAUGUGUAUUUCUUCUGUACCUGGGUUUUCCAUGGUGAGGUUAGUCCAAUCAGUUGGUUUUUUCUUCAUUUCUGCUGCCUUGAUUAACUCGAGAAGAGAUUUAUUAACCUGAAAUUGACCAGAAGGUACAUGUUAAUCUUUUCUUCCAGGUUCUGAGGCAACUGACAAGAGCAUGGAAACUUUGUUCCCUCUUCCAUUUUGUAGCAAUGAUAUUCCUAGAAGACCUCAGAGCCUGUAAGUCAUUAUAGUUUGCUAUCGUAACUAACACCGAGGUUUAAGUAACAGUAUGACUGCUUACACUUUUCGAUCAGUUACUAAAGCAGUCUAAAUUCUUCCAACAGGCUCCUUAAACUUUUCUUUAUAUAUGUUUAAUUCAGUUAACCAAAUCCAUAGCCAACUUGUUCUUAUAUUCAGGAUAGUAUGAUUUUCAUUUCAGUCUUAUAUCUUUCUGUUAAGUUACAAUAAUCUGUGUAUGACAUCCUCUAACAUUUACUGCAGACUGGAGCAUCUUAGGGAGCUACAAAGACUUUAUAGAUUAAGUCUUAUAUACAUCAGAAGCAAGAGAGAUAGAGAAGUUACGACAUGAAUGAAUAAGAAAUGAGUACCUCUUCUGUUCUCUCGUGGCU